This 508-nucleotide ribosomal RNA is filed under the name uncultured bacterium. RNAcentral's name for it is "partial 16S ribosomal RNA". It matches the Rfam family "Bacterial small subunit ribosomal RNA", at positions 28 to 507 of the family's 1533-position model. The record is from RNAcentral.
GACGAACGCUGGCGGCGUGCCUAAUACAUGCAAGUCGAACGCUUCUUUCCUCCCGAGUGCUUGCACUCCAUUGGAAAGAGGAGUGGCGGACGGGUGAGUAACACGUGGGUAACCUACCCAUCAGAGGGGGAUAACACUUGGAAACAGGUGCUAAUACCGCAUAACAGUUUAUGCCGCAUGGCAUAAGAGUGAAAGGCGCUUUCGGGUGUCGCUGAUGGAUGGACCCGCGGUGCAUUAGCUAGUUGGUGAGGUAACGGCUCACCAAGGCCACGAUGCACAGCCGACCUGAGAGGGUGAUCGGCCACACUGGGACUGAGACACGGCCCAGACUCCUACGGGAGGCAGCAGUAGGGAAUCUUCGGCAAUGGACGAAAGUCUGACCGAGCAACGCCGCGUGAGUGAAGAAGGUUUUCGGAUCGUAAAACUCUGUUGUUAGAGAAGAACAAGGACGUUAGUAACUGAACGUCCCCUGACGGUAUCUAACCAGAAAGCCACGGCUAACUACGCG